Molecule: microRNA precursor, 69 nt
Filed under: Oryza sativa (Asian cultivated rice)
Lineage: Eukaryota; Viridiplantae; Streptophyta; Magnoliopsida; Poales; Poaceae
Description: miR395v stem-loop (osa-MIR395v)
Gene: osa-MIR395v
Source: miRBase by way of RNAcentral
GAAUUCUCUUUAAGCACUUCAUACGACACAAUUAUUUCAAGGGUUGUUGUGAAGUAUUUGGCGGAACUC